GAGACACUGGAUUUCUUUAAUUAAAAAAAAAAUGCCAAGAAACAUUAUUUAUACAGGGUUGAUUGUUUUCAUGUUGUUAUUCUGUACCCUAUAGUAGCCUCCAUGAGAAUCUGGUAUUUCUUGCUGCUUGGAACUACUUUGCAGUGAUUACUUGGUUGCAGUCCAAGUAUUCUCGUUUAGUCUGAGCCUGGAGAUGUUCUAGACUUGCUUCUCCCACCUCUGAGAUUAGGACAGGAAAAAUGUGAAAUUUCCCAAUUACAGGAUUAUACGGUACCAUCACAUCAUUUGUGGAAAUUGGGGUGACUGUAUAGCUGGGAUUGGGCUAAGGACUGUGGUCUUAUCUGUCCACAUACAGCCAAAAUGCCUAUCCAGAAAUCCAGUUCGUUGGAAAGGAAAAUUGGUACUCCUGUGCCACAGGGGUUCCAGAAAAGGGAAGUCACUUUACCUUGCGGUGGUGGGAUCCUGAUGUCUUUCAUCCAUUUGUAGUAAAAGCUGGUAAAGCUUUUCUUACUCCUGGUUCCCUACCAGUAUUUCUAAACAUGUCGCACUUUCUCCACAGGCAUGUGGUUUUGACCUUUUUUUCAAUCUUCUAGAAAGGGAACGGAAGCAGAAGUGGGACAUCGAGGGCUCUGCUGUCCUCUGCGCUGGGUGUGGAAUGCUGCUGCACCUGUCCCUUCUGCUGGCUCAGGGAAGUGUCUUCUUGCCCACAUUUCUGUGGGGAAAGGUUUUUAAUCCUCUGAUGCUUCCAUCUUCCUGUUUAGGCCAUGUGCCCAGAAACCUGGACUGAUCUUUCUUUAAUAGUGAACCCCUGGGCCACUGAAGAGUAACAUGGCUCCACUGGACACAAAAGAGGGAUGGAAUCAACAGGCAGGGGGCCUUUUAUAAGCCUUAGGAAAAGAAAAUGAAACUAUUUCAUCUUUGGACUUUUCAAUACUAUUGGAGUGAUUUUUUUCUUUCUAAACAGGGAAAAUAAUGUUACAAAAGCAUCUUUUUUGUUAUUUGUUUGCAUCCCUCCCCCACACCCUGGUGUUUUAAAAUGAAGAAAAAAAACCACUUUUUGUACAAAAACUCUUAAUGAUUAAAAAACAAACAAACAAAA
This 1099-nucleotide long non-coding RNA is filed under the name Homo sapiens (human). RNAcentral describes it as "non-protein coding lnc-OR6C65-3:1". Lineage: Eukaryota; Metazoa; Chordata; Mammalia; Primates; Hominidae. The record is from RNAcentral.